RNAcentral lists this ribosomal RNA (477 nucleotides) under uncultured Pseudoalteromonas sp. RNAcentral describes it as "bacterial SSU rRNA". It matches the Rfam family "Bacterial small subunit ribosomal RNA", at positions 97 to 570 of the family's 1533-position model. Lineage: Bacteria; Pseudomonadati; Pseudomonadota; Gammaproteobacteria; Alteromonadales; Pseudoalteromonadaceae. The record is from RNAcentral.
GGCGGACGGGUGAGUAAUGCUUGGGAAUAUGCCUUAUGGUGGGGGACAACAGUUGGAAACGACUGCUAAUACCGCAUGAUGUCUACGGACCAAAGUGGGGGACCUUCGGGCCUCACGCCAUAAGAUUAGCCCAAGUGGGAUUAGCUAGUUGGUGAGGUAAUGGCUCACCAAGGCGACGAUCCCUAGCUGGUUUGAGAGGAUGAUCAGCCACACUGGGACUGAGACACGGCCCAGACUCCUACGGGAGGCAGCAGUGGGGAAUAUUGCACAAUGGGCGCAAGCCUGAUGCAGCCAUGCCGCGUGUGUGAAGAAGGCCUUCGGGUUGUAAAGCACUUUCAGUAAGGAGGAAAGGUUAAGUGUUAAUAGCAAUUAGCUGUGACGUUACUUACAGAAGAAGCACCGGCUAACUCCGUGCCAGCAGCCGCGGUAAUACGGAGGGUGCGAGCGUUAAUCGGAAUUACUGGGCGUAAAGCGUAC